AACCCGCAUCCUCAUGGAGACAAUGUUGGGGCCUUAACCUGCUGAGCCACAAUGGGAACUCCCCAGCAGGACUUUUGUGACAAUUAGUGUUAAUGGAUGGAUAUAAACUCCUAUCAACCAUUCACCCUGUUAAUUCAUAUAUUAUUUAAUGAAUAUUUAUCUAAUGAAAGGAAGCUGGGCAGAGAGCAGCUGGUCUAUGUUGGGGGCAGUGGAGCAUACAGGUUCACUUAUCGUGCUUAACAUCCCUAACCUACUCCCCUCAUCUAUCCAGCCCUGGCCUCUGUCGUUCUGCACACUCCCUGAGCCUUCAGGAGUGUCAGGGCUGUGCCUCCUGGGGAGCAUAGGCAGGCUGGUGUGAUGAGAAAAGAGUUUUUCCAAGUCAUGUUCAUGCAAGAGAAUACUUCAAGACUGAAAGUUUUAAAAUUCUUUUAUUAAUCUACUCAGUUAAGAGUGACAAGCAGGGUUCUAAAAACAUGGAGUUAUUUUAUCUACGAUCCAUUUUCCAGUAAGUGACUACCCAGUUAGCUGAAGCACAAGAAUAGGUAAUGGCUUUGUUUUCCUAAGAUGUAGUCAUUCCGAUUAUUUUUAGAUGAAUGAUUCGGAGCCAGAAGUAUAACUCAUAAUUAUGUUGCUAUGAUUCUACAACCAGUUGUUUGGUGGAAUUAGUUUGACCGUGACAACUUUAAAGUCACCACAUUUUCUGAAAAAAAUCAGCAGAUAAAAACUGAAAAUAAAAGAUUCCAUGACACGAAGUGCUGUUUCCUGCUAUUAUCUCACAUCUUUCUCCUCUGAAGCUUGCCUGCUGCCUUCCCUUAGGCUCUUUCCUGGUUUCCAGCUCUUACAAGGCUCCCCCAGGUACUUAAGCCCACUGACAAACCACCGAAUGCUCCAGGAAGCAUUCCUAAAGACCCCAGCCUGAGGAGCUGCUCUCUUCCUCUUAAUUCAUGCAUUGAUUGUGGAUUGGCUACAGCCUUCCUUAGAACUCCUCAUUCUCUCCCUUGAAUUUUGGUUUAUUUUCAAAUAAAUCUCAUUAUUUCCAAAGCUAGUUUUGGUCUAUGUAAAAAUUUUACAUUACAAAAAUUAUAUAUCAAUAUUAUCAAAAAUUUGGAAGAGAGAGGAAAGAAAAAUAUUCAUAAUCUCAUUAUCUUAACACUAACUCUGUACUCAUCAUUUUAGGGUGUUUUUUCUUAAGCUUUUUUUCUAUGCUUAUUUUUUCACUGAUUUAAUUCCAGUGUCUGUGCAAUUUCACAGUUUGACUUUUUUGCAACUAAUGCUACAUCACCACCAUUAUGGUAAUUGCUAUAUAGUUUUCAUAAAUGUUACUUUAAAGCCUGUGUAAUGUUGACUACUAUCAACAUUUUAGAUUGUUAAUUAUAGUCCACUAUUAUAAAUGGUACUGCAGUUGACAUCUUUAUGCAUGUAGUUUUCUCAGUGUGUGUAUUAUAUGUAUACAUGCAUGUGUAUUUCAAUUUUUUUUUCCCUUAAGCUAGUAUCCCAAAAGGAAAAUUACCGAAUCAAAGAGUAUGAUUAUUUUUAAGGUUUUUGAAACAUAUUGCUAAAUUGGUUUUCUAAAGAGUUGGACCAGUUUAUAUUACCAGAAACAUAUGAGAGUAUCAGUUUCUCCAGACUUUUACCAAAAUUAUUUCUUAAUUAUUAGUCUUCAUAUAAUCAAAAUAAGAUGACAUUUGUUCACGGUUUAAAUUUUUUACUAAAGCAUACAGAAAAGUAUGGAGGAAAAAAUUAGUCCAUGGCCCUGAUUUAUCGAAUUUUAAUACAUUCCCAUUGUACUAGUUUGUACUACAUUGUACUAGUUUUAUAAAAAUAAAAUAUUACAUAUAUAGUGAAGUCUUUGUGUACCCCUUCCCAGUUCUACUCUCUGUACACUUUUACAGAGACGACUGGAACUGGAUGUUUACUGUUCUUUGCAUUUCCGUAUCUUUUAAUUGUUAAAUCUUUGACUACUAACAAAGUUAAACUUUUUCCUAUGGCAUAGCUACUAUGAAAGUUCUUAGGUUCUAGAGUCAGGUAUAACUGGCUUUGAGUUCCUGCUCUGCUUCUUGCUACUCAUGUCUCCUUGAACCUCUCUGUGCCUCAGUUUCCUCAUCUAGAAAAUGGAGAUAAUAAUCAUUCCUACUAUUGUUUAUGUUGCUGUGAAGCUUAACUAUGACAGUUCAGGUAAAAUUCUUGGCCCAGGGCCCAGCACUCGAUAAAGCCUUUCACUAUUACUCUAGUUUCUCUUUUGAAUUGCCCGCUCCUUGUUCUUCUGGAAAAGAUUAGCUUACAACCUGUGACACACUUUAUCAAAUAUGAUCGUAUUUACUCUUCACGACAGCUCUGUGAGAUAGUAUUGCGGUGAUCCCAUUUGAUAAAUGAGGAAACGGAGCCUGAAUGGUCCAUAGGCUAGCAGGGAGCAGAGCUGUGUCUGAACUCGGUCUCAGGAGCAGGCAGCUCACUGCCCUUCUGUGCUGCUGCCCCUUCACCUCUGAAACUAGACAUGCUUUUUCAUGAUACGAUAUCACAUCACGAGCCCAUAAGGUAGUUUUAGCACAGUUCUGUAACACAGUCAUUACAGAUGGAUCCCAGUUUCUGUAUUUAUAAUUGUUUUCUUUUUCUAUCUUUUCUGAAUAUUCUGCAAGAAAUAUUUAUUGCUCUUAUAAAACCAGAUAUGCUUCUAAAUGCAUCAAAAACGUUGCCAGGAGUUUCCGUAGCAGUUCAGUAGAAGCGGAAACAAUCCGACUAGGAACCAUGAGGUUGCGGGUUUGAACCCUGGCCUUGCUCAGUGGGUUAAGGAUCCAGCAUUGCUGUGAGCUGUGGUGUAGGUUGAAGAUGCAGCUAGGAUCUGAUGUUGCUGUGGCUGUGGUGUAGGCUGGCAUCUGUAGCUCUGAUUUGACCCAUAGCCUGGGAACCUCCAUAUGCCAUGGGUGCGCCCCUAAAAAAGCGUUAAAAAAAAAGUUACCAGUUAUGUAAUAUGAUUAUAUUAUAUUGACAAUAUUAGAGAUUUAAGAUCUCUAGGCUUGGUAUUGCCUUUUUUCUGAAUUUUUAAAAAUAAGUCAAAGUAAAGAUCUUAAGCAAUUUCUGCAUCCAAAUUUCAGUGCCUGAAUGUAUGAAUCUAAAACAUUCUAAUUAAAAUAACCUCAAAAUGAUCCACUGUAUUUAAUAGGUAGCUAGAGUAAUAUGAACAUUGUAUGAUUUAUGAAAACUUAAUUUUAAAAGAAAAAUGUUACUAAAAUGUAUUUAUAAACCAUAAGUCAUGAAACUUUAUCUUGUAUUGUUUUUUUUUUUGAGGCACAAGAAAAAAGAAUAUUUUUUUUCUUUUUACAGCUGCACCUGAGGCAUAUGGAAGCUCCUGGGCUAGGAGUCGAACUGGAGCCGCAUCUAAGCCCCAGCCAUGGCAACACCAGAUCCUUAACCCACUGAGCUAGGCGAGGGGCCAAACCAGCAUCCUUACAGAGACAACGUCGGGUCCUUAACCUUCUGGGCCGCAACAGGAACUCCGGGAACAUUUUUUAAGGUGAUAUUUUAUGGUAAUGAUAUUUUUCUCAGUUUGUCAAUACUCGUUUUUCCUUUGAACACACUGAUGUUGCUCAUAUUAAGUGACAUUCUCCUUAUCAUAUCUAAGAUUCAGAGAACCCAAAAGGGGUGGGUGUUAAUGAGGAGUCACACCCAACAUGACAAACCCCCAGGCAUGGCAGAAUGAGGUACCAUUAAUGGCAACUAGAGGACCAGAGAGUACCUCAAGACUCAGGAAAAGUGUGUUAUGGACACAAGGUUAUGCCAAGGCUAUUUACUGAACUAAACACUGAAGUAUUUUGAAAAGACCAAUAUAGAGCCUGCCAAUCUAAGUCCAGUGUUUGUUUUGGUUUUACUCCAACAGGAGAAUAAUCUGGUUCUUUUUUUUUUUUUUUUCUCCCAGAAAACACAGGGUUCAGGUAAAUGGCAGUAUGGGAGUCUAUAAAAACCAUCACUUUAUAAAUGACAGUCUGCCUGUCACCUGGCGAUCUGCCAAUUCUCCCAGCUAUUCACUGGAGCAAUACUCUGAGUCUGGCCUCUUGCCAGUGUCUGAAAAGGGCUCAAGCCAUGGGAGCUUCUCUGUGGCUCUCACUGCAGGUCUCCUUUCGUGGACCUUUUCCAGGAGGGUGGCAGUCACUUCAGCAGAAAGCCACCUCGCAACCCACGAAGUUUACCUCUUACUGGAGACUGUGUUAGCAGACGAAUGCCCCCACAUUCCAAAAUAUUUUAAGGAAAUUCAUCAUAAGCCUCUGGAUGAAAAGGCAACAGAAAAACUACAGUGCCUGGUAGGUCCUUACAGGGGGAUAAAUACCUCUGCCCUGAGGUAUUUCACAGAGUUGCACAUGCUCAUCUGCUAACUACGACUCAUUUCCUUUAUGAAAUUUUAAGCAAUCUGUUCUAAGAGAUGGUAUGGAAGAAGAUGAAAAUUCCUUUUUAAAAAAACAAUGUGUUAAAACCCAAACUCAAAAUCAGAGCAAAAAUACAUUGCUCUUCUCUGCUUGGAUUUUCUAGAAACAGCUUCAGGCAGCAGGGUGAAUUCCGGGGGCCGUUUUAGGGCAAGCCGGGGUGGGAUUAGAUGUUCCAGCCUGUACAGUUCUCCUAAGCCUGCCAUGAUCUGUAACUUAGCUCUUGGGCCUGGGCCAGAACCAGACCAACAUUCAAGGGUGAGCAAAGAAGGCAGCCGCCUUUGGGCAACUGCUGUGCAGAAUUCUCUGGAUAAUGCCUUUCACUCUGUUCUCCCCAACACUGGUCAAACACCCUCAAUCCAUCCUCUGCUUCCUUAGCGUCACUGUAGGUCUCUCCUGCUGAAGUUACAUACCUUUUUAAGAUUAUGAAAAUAAAUGCUAACCAUGCUAUUUUUGGGUCUCAGUUGAAAACAAUUAUCCUUUAGCAAUUUUCACAGUAUAAAUAAGGCUAAAGUUUGCUCUAUAACUUCAUUAAGAGAGUAUCUGUAAUGGGGGAAAAAGUACCAAAUUAUUUAAUGUAAAGAUUUAUAUAACAUCCCAACUAGGAAAAUGUCAUAUAAAUUUAUGUAUAUCAUAUAUGUAUCUUUCAUAAUUUGUUUUGUCAUCUUUCAUAAUAUAUGUAUGAGGAGUGUGAAUUUAAUUUUAGAUGCUUUAUUCAUUGAUAAUCCAUCUCAGAUUCUCUGUGAGCACUCAUGAUAAUGAAUGUAUUUGAUGUUCAGGUGGCUUCUCUGUGCUUUCAUUUUGCAGUUUUGCAGCUGAGUAAUCGAUAAUUCAAGGUACACAGAACAUUAAAAAAAAGUCUCAGUUAUUAUAAUGAAAGUACAAAUUGGUUUUUCCAGGCUUUUAAAAACUUUAAAGCCUUACUGGGUUGUAAGGAAAGUCUAUAUAAGUUUUUCCUUCUGAAUUAAGUUCUAGGCAGUACGAUAAAAUAGAGUCCCCAAGAGUUCUCCCGUGGCUCAGCAGGUUAAGGAUCCCAUGUUGUCACUGUAGUGGCUUGGGUCACUGCUGUGGCAUGGGUUUGAUCCCUGGCUGGGAACUUCUGCAUGGCGAGAGUGUAGCCUCCUCCCAC
RNAcentral lists this long non-coding RNA (5544 nucleotides) under Sus scrofa (pig). RNAcentral's name for it is "lncRNA (ENSSSCG00030030943.1, ENSSSCG00175003869.1)". Lineage: Eukaryota; Metazoa; Chordata; Mammalia; Artiodactyla; Suidae. The record is from RNAcentral.